AUCUGUUCGUAUUUGUCUCUCUCUGUCUCUUUUUCAUACACACACAUACUCAAAUGCCAUAUUUUAGUGCAUAGAGUGAUUCAAAAUGCACUACCAAUAAUCACCAAAAUAUCCCCUUCUCUUGCAAUAAUCUAAGAAUAAUCUAGGAAUCUAGAUUAUUUUUUUAAAGCCAGUAUUUGGGUCCAGAAGAUAUUCUCUUUAUAGUCUUGAGAAGCACAAUAAUCAAUUCCUUUAAGAGAGAAAAAUGUGUUUUUUUCCAAACAUAUUGCACGGAAAAGAUAAGGCAGCUUCUCCCUAGGGAGAUGGGAAGAACAAACAGUGUUGUCAACACAGGAAGGCUGCUGUAGAGGUGGACACAUCCCCCUGCCACCCUGAUUAGAGGAAGCCAGGAAGUAAGGGCGGUUUACUUGGAAACUACAAUGAGAACCAUGCUGCAGCCCCAAGUGGGGAAGGGGAGAAGCAACCUAAUCCGGGGAAGGCUGUGAUUCCAACAUGGCAUUUUCCUUCCAUCCUCCACAGCAUGUCUUUCUGAAUCUGUGUCUGCAAUGCCAGGGAAGAGCCAUCAGGCCUGUGCUCCCCAAAACAGAGCUGAAGAGUGGACCUCAGGAACCUGGUAAAGAUUUAGAAUGAGAGAAAAAAACUAUAGAACUAUGAAUUCAGACUGACUCUAGGGUAAAAAAAAUGAGUUUGUAUGGUAGAUUUGCACUGUGCAAAUUUAGCUAAGCAGGAGCUAUGUUUCCCAGGAUCCCUGUCUCUGCAUAAUUUCAGGUUAGCGUGGGCCACCAGAAACACACAUGAUGGGAUUUGGAAGGCUGAAGUUAAGCGUCAAUCACAUUCCUUUAAAGCACUGAAGAUCGGUGCAGGCAAAAGUGCAGAGCACAGGCACCACUGCAGCUCACCAAGUGAUUUCUGCUCUCUGGCUCACAUUAUUGACAUUGAGCAGAAGCCGGGCAUGCAGCUUCAUCAGCUCUCACCAGAUUUGCUUCCUUCAGUUUCUCCAGCUCCUGGGUCAGUUACAUGUUUAGCAACAUGAUGAAGCAAAGCAGUUUCUCUUGCAGGUCACUGGCAUCAUUGAAUUUGGAGGCUUCAAGACAGAGGCUGAAAAACAGUUUGCCUCUGUGAUUUCCAGCCUGUCCCCCUGAAUUCCAAUUUAUCAUUUCUCUCCAACAUUUCAUGUCUGUCUUUCCUUCUCGAUGUCCUGCUCUGCUAACUUCAGUCUCCAAUGCAAGACAUAGAAGCAACAGCCACACAUAAACUGUUUAGUCAGCUCCCAUAAUUGGGAAAAGUAAAAUAUUUGCAAUAAACAAUUGAUUCUACAUCACUUCCUGUGGUUCUGUUUCUCUGGGCAAACCCAACUUGAUACCAUCUGAAUAGUAGAAGUGAACCCACCAAUGUUCUUUGUGCUGGAAUUGACCUGGUUGUUAACCUAACUGGAUGAUUUGAUAGAGGCAAGAUAGAACAAUUGAGAUUUCUGACAAAGUUGUCAGGGAAAUAUAAUUGUAAAAUUGAAGAAUGGAACAGGAGCAGAUGGCAAUAAAUACCCAUGCUGAAGCAAUGAAAAUGACAGUUGGAAACCUUGAGAAUUCUGAAUUAAAUGUUUGGAGGAAGAUUGUCAAGAGAAAAAAGUUACAUGUAUAAAAUCUACAGUAGAAUUGGAAGAUGGAUCUAAUGAGAAUAACACUAAGGAAACACCAUCCUUCAAAAACUAAAAGCUCCUUGAUGAGACAAGAAAAUGAAGUGUCCCAGAAGAGGAAAUGCAGUAAGUGUUGGGGAUAAAAAGAAGGUUAGAAAGCGAACAAUUUCAGAAGGGAAGAAAUGACCUCUAAAAGGGAAGCUGGGAUGAUAGCAAAGGCAAUGUCAACGUCCUCACAAUUUCACUUAGAUUUUCCUGGCUACUCUGCAGAAGGCAUGAUAAGAUAAAUGCUUAUUGAUUUCAAGAUCAAGGCAACAGGAUCCUUUCUGUUUAAUUAUUUCUUUGUAAGUUAAAAACUAAAUGCUUUGGCAAGUGCUGUAAAUACAAAGGGCAGGGGUAUUCAGUGCCCUUAGAAUCAAUGGCAAGUUCAAGCUGUGUGUGACAAGGGAUAACCAUUAUUCAUCCAUUCAUUCUAACAAAGUCUGUAAAUGACUACCAUGCAUUAGGUGAUGGUCUGGUCACUGAAAUAUCAGAGACAGGUAAAGCUCAGUCUCUGUUCUUAAGGACCUCAGGGUUUAGAAGAAGAAAAAGACAUAUAAGUAAGUACAAUAGAAAUAUAAACAAGAACCAAAGGUAGCUCAGGGGAAGUGAGUAACUCUUAGAGGAAAAUAUUAAAUAAAGGAUUUCUGGAUGAGAGGAUGUUUGAACUGAAUUCUGAAGAUGAAUAAAAGUCCUUCUGGAGAAAUAAAAACACCAUUUUGGCAGAAAUAAUAGUAUAUGUGAAUACAUUUAGAACAAAGCAUGGAAACUAUGUUUAGGAUAUUGUCAUAAGCUUGGUAUCUUUAGAGCAUUUUGUGUAAGUGGUGAGGGGAGAAAAUGGGAGGAGAUAAAAAACGUAAACGUAGGGUAGGGUAGAUUAUGAAUGGAUAGAAAUGUCUCUUAAAGCAUCUGAACUAUACCCAAAUGCCUAGGAGGAGAAAGUGAAGCAUUCAAAGCAGAAGAAACCAGGAAUGGGUUUGCCAGCAGCGUUGAGAAUAAGUUGGAAGACAGAAAUAAGUGAAUUAUAGACACAGAUAUAUAUUUUUGAGUAAUCAGAAAUAGUGAGAAAUAAAGAGAGUCUUGCCUAAGACAGUGGUAGUGGAAAGAAAACAGCAGCAAGACUUAAGAGAUAGUCAAGAAAUAUUCAAUAGAAUCUGGUGAUGACUGAUGUGAGGUGUGAGAGAGACUUCAAGUUCUCUGGUCCAUGGAGAAGGAAGCAUGUUGAAUCUGAGGGGCCAGUAGACAUCUACAUAGCAGGAAAUAAUCGAGAGGGACUGCUGGUGUAAAGAUAUGAAGAGCACCAAAUUCCAUCACUUAUUUAUUUGAUGCUUGCCUCAUAGUAGUCACUCCUAACCCCAAAGGUCUCAGAGUCUCAGUAAUCUCCAAAGAAGGUGCAUGUAAUUAUAGAACACUGAGUUAUUUAAUUACACUACUAGAGGAAGUAUACGGUGUGACGAGAGCAUAGAGAAGGGUUCUUAACAAAGACUUGGCAUAAGGUAGCAUGGAGAGAGGGCAGCAGGCCAGGCAGGUUAGAGAAAAAAAAAAGUGUAAGCUGACAUCUAAAGACCUAGUAGAAAUGAACCAGAAAAAAAGGAAUACAGAAAUUUUUCAAGCAGUGAAAGUCCCAUGUGCCAUGACCAGGAAGCGAUAAUGGGCAUGGCGUACCUGAGAAAUUGUGGAAUGUUCCAUCGCUGGAGUGUCAAGUCUAAAAGGAGAACAGCAAGAGCUGAAGCUGGGAAAGUUAGCUUUGGCAUGAUCAUGGCACAAGCUAUUUUAUAGAACUUAAACUUUAUCUAGUGUGCAAGAGAAAGCCACUUAAGGAUUUUUUAGCAGGGUAGUGAUACAAUCAGAUUUGUAUUUUAAAAACUCAUUCCAGCUACUGUGUGGAAAAUGAGAUGUUAAUUAAAAUAGUGAGCCUCGAUGUGAUUUCCUAGGAUAAAGACCACAAUUUGAUUCAACCUGCUAAUGUGCUCUGGCCUUCAGGGUGCAUUUAAAAAAUUUAUUCAUUUAAUUCUGAGUUAGUUGUGAACAUUUAAAAAUUGGGAACUCUCACAUAAAAUCAGGGUUCCAGGGUUCUUUUGACAAAGUAGAUCUGGCAAAGCUGUGUCCUUACUCCUGACCUGUCAGCAACUGGCUGGAGCUGAGUUGUCCACAAAAUGAUGCUUUUAUACAACGUAGGUGCCCUUCUGCUCACCACAGUCCAAUGGAGGCAUUUAGUUUGAUUUUAGUGCCCCGGAAUUAACCAGAGAGAACAUGUAGACUGAGAAUAAAGAACCGCUGGACAUGCCUAUCUAAAACCAAACUCCUCUGCCAGAUGACAUCCCCAUUUCCUACUCAUGAUUUUUGUUUUAUCAAUUUUUUUCUCAUCAAAUUUUCCCCUCUACCGGGUCAUUUCCAUUGACAUAAAAACAUGUUAUUUUUCUGUCUUAACAAGAAUUUUUCUUGGCUCUCUUCCCCACCAGCUACCCCCAUAACUUUGUUCUCUUUUCCUCUCAAAUCAUCUUCUCAAGCCAACCACUCUAGGAACACCGCUCAUGUCAGUGUCAUCAAGGACUUUCUUGCUGCCAAUUUCAAUGUGUAGUUCUUAGUCCUCACCUUACUUAACCUAUCUGCGGUAAUCAACACAAAGUUAGUCAUUGCCUUUUAUUUGAAACGAUGUUUUACCCCCUUGACUUUUAGGAUACACUACAUAUCUUGAGGAUCUUUCUACCUUGCUGACUCUUCCUUCUUAGUCUCUUUUAUGAAUUCUUCUUUCUCAAGGCCGGAGAGCCUCAUAUCUUAGUCUUUGUAUCUCUUCUCUGUCUGUACUCACUCCUUGUCAUUCAGGGCUGUCAACAACCUUAUGUCUUUAAAUACCAUCUAUAUGUUAAAAGCUUCCAAGUUCCUUACUCCAGCCCCUACCUUUCUCUUGAGCACCAUUCUCCCAAUGCCUAGUUGAUUUUUGACAUCUAACUAAAAAGCAUCUAAAGUUCACUAUGUUAAAUACAAACUUGGAUUCUCAUCUGUCUUCCACUAAACAUGCCCCUCUCAUAGCAUUCCUAUCUUAAAAAAUGACAUCCCAUUCCACCUGUUGUCAAUGCCAAAGACUUCUAAAAUAACCUUACUUCUUCUGUUUCCUUCACACCACACAUCAAAUCUGCUGCAAAUCCUAUUGGCCCUACCUAUCUUUGAAAUUUUUCCAGAAUGCAAUCCCUUCUUCCUCCUCCACUGCUUCCACUCUGGUCCAAUCCCCUUCGAUCUCCUUCCUGGAAUUUUACAAUAGUUUCCUAGCUGAUGUCUCUGUUUUCAAGGUUCCUUCCUGCAGGUUCUACACUGAAAAAGCAACCAGCACUUGAAAAGAAAGAGGGUUUCUGUAAUACUUUCUCAGGAUGAGUUUGAAGUUAUGCAUUUGGGGCAAAACUAUUGUAUAAGUGAGGUGUGUCCUUCUUGGUACAUCAUGAUGAAGUUGAUAUGUCUUAUUUCUAGAGAUUUUAAUCUUAAUAAUUUGUUUAAGGCAGUGCCUACAGAUUGUCCCCACUGUAAAGAAACAUAUCUAUGUAGACUUUUUGAACAUGUACAGUACAUGUUGUGUUUCUCUACAAACUUUGACUAGUCACCAGUAGAAGAAAAGGAUCCAGAAAAAGAAUGGAGUAUUGAACAUCUCUUGUGUCCUACUUCACAUUGUACUGUCACACUUUCUUAAAGCUGCCAUUUUUUGGAACAACCAGCUGAGCUAAAAUGUAAUCAGAUAGUAUCUUGUCAUAACUGUACAGAGUAACUUUGGGGACUUUAGCCAUAAGGAUUAGCUGGCAACAACAAAAAGGACAUUGUUGGAAUUCACUCAGAUAUACUUCCACAUGUGCAAAUGUGGAAGUGCAAUGUUGCUAAUUGUCUGAUGUGGUUUGGCUCUGUGUCCCCAACCAAAUCUCAUCUUGUAGCUUCCAUAAUUCUCAUGUGUUGUAAGAGGGACUGGAUGAGAGAUAAUUGAAUCAUGGCAGUGGGCCUUUCCUGUGUUGUUCUCAUGAUAGUGGAUAAGUCUCACAAGAUGUACCUCACGAUAUCUGAUGGCUUUCAAAACCGGAGUUUGGGUCGGGCCUGUUGGCUUAUGCCUGUAAUUCCAGCACUUUGGGAGGCCAAGGCUGGUGGAUCACCUC
Molecule: long non-coding RNA, 5805 nt
Filed under: Homo sapiens (human)
Lineage: Eukaryota; Metazoa; Chordata; Mammalia; Primates; Hominidae
Description: HSALNT0310944
Source: RNAcentral